AACAGCCUUCAUGUUACCAGCUUGACACCAGAGAUGACUCUCCUUGGGAUCUACUUCUCUUACUAUUUGAACUCCAGAAGGAC
Molecule: long non-coding RNA, 83 nt
Filed under: Suricata suricatta (meerkat)
Lineage: Eukaryota; Metazoa; Chordata; Mammalia; Carnivora; Herpestidae
Description: lncRNA (ENSSSUG00005013622.1)
Source: RNAcentral